RNAcentral lists this ribosomal RNA (253 nucleotides) under uncultured bacterium. Its description in RNAcentral is "partial 16S ribosomal RNA". It matches the Rfam family "Bacterial small subunit ribosomal RNA", at positions 524 to 776 of the family's 1533-position model. The record is from RNAcentral.
UACGUAGGGGGCAAGCGUUGUCCGGAUUUAUUGGGCGUAAAGAGCGUGUAGGCGGUUAGGUAGGUCCGUUGUGAAAACUCGAGGCUCAACCUCGAGACGCCGAUGGAAACCAUCUAACUAGAGUCCGGAAGAGGAGAGUGGAAUUCCCGGUGUAGCGGUGAAAUGCGCAGAUAUCGGGAAGAACACCCGUGGCGAAGGCGGCUCUCUGGGACGGUACUGACGCUGAGACGCGAAAGCGUGGGGAGCGAACAGG